This 63-nucleotide transfer RNA is filed under the name Rattus norvegicus (Norway rat). It matches the Rfam family "tRNA". Rfam says of the family: Transfer RNA (tRNA) molecules are approximately 80 nucleotides in length. Their secondary structure includes four short double-helical elements and three loops (D, anti-codon, and T loops). Lineage: Eukaryota; Metazoa; Chordata; Mammalia; Rodentia; Muridae. The record is from Rfam by way of RNAcentral.
GGGGAUUUAGCUCAGUGGUAGAGCACUUGCCUAACAAGUGCAAGGCCCUGGGUUCAGUCCCCA